CAAUAGCGUAUAUUAAAGUUGUUGCAGUUAAAAAGCUCGUAGUUGGAUUUGUGGCGUACGGUGUGUUCCGGGCACUUGUUGUCUGAGUAACCUGCUGUUGCCAUCCUUGGGUGGAACCUGUGUGGCAUUAGGUUGUCGUGCAGGGGAUGCCCAUCAUUUACUGUGAAAAAAUUAGAGUGUUCAAAGCAGACUUAUGCCGUUGAAUAUAUUAGCAUGGAAUAAUGAGAUAGGACUUUUUUGCUAUUUUGUUGGUUUGCGCAAGAAGGUAAUGAUUAAUAGGGACAGUUGGGGGUAUUCGUAUUCCAUUGUCAGAGGUGAAAUUCUUGGAUUUUUGGAAGACGAACUACUGCGAAAGCAUUUACCAAGGAUGUUUUCAUUAA
Molecule: ribosomal RNA, 380 nt
Filed under: uncultured eukaryote
Lineage: Eukaryota
Description: partial 18S ribosomal RNA
Rfam family: Eukaryotic small subunit ribosomal RNA
Source: RNAcentral